ACGCUGGCGGCGCGCUUAACACAUGCAAGUCGAGCGAGAUAGGGAGCAAUCCUGAGUAAAGCGGCACACGGGUGAGUAACACGUGGGUAUGUACCUCGUUAGUGUGGGAAUAACCCUGGGAAACCGGGGCUAAUACCGCAUAAGUCCGAGAGGAGAAAGCCGAAAGGCGCUGACAGAUCAGCCCGCGGACGAUUAGCUAGUUGGUGAGGUAAUGGCUCACCAAGGCGACGAUCGAUAGCCGGACUGAGAGGGCACACGGCCACACUGGCACUGAAACACGGGCCACACUCCUACGGGAGGCACCCCUGGGGAAUCUUGCACAAUGGAAGAAACUCUGAUGCAGCGACGCCGCGUGAACGAUGAAGCCCUUCGGGGUGUAAAGUUCUUUCGACAGGGACGAUAAUGACGGUACCUGAAGAAGAAGCUGCGGCUAACUACGUGCCAGCAGCCGCGGUAAUACGUAGGCAGCGAGCGUUGUUCGGAAUUACUGGGCGUAAAGAGUGUGUAGGUGGUUGACUAAGUUUGGUGUGAAAUCUCCCGGCUUAACUGGGAGGGUGGUCGGAAAACUGGUUGGUUAGAGUGUGGGAGAGGGACGUGGAAUUCAUGGUGGGGCGGAAAUAUGCGUGGAUAUGAGGAAGAACACCAGAUGUGUAGGCAGGGUCCUGGACCAUUCCUGACACUGGAGCAAUAAAGGCUGUGAAGCAAAAAAGAUUAGAUACCCUGGUAGUCCACGCCGUAAACGAUGCAAACUUGGUGUGCGCCCUUCAUAGGGUGCGUGUCGAAGGUAACGGGUUAAGUUUGCCGCCUGGGGAGGACGGUCGCAAGGGUGAAAAUUAAAGGAAUUGACGGGGGCCCGCACAAGCGGUGGAGCAUGUGGUUUAAUUUGAAGCAACGGGAAGAACCUUACCUGGGCUCGAACGUCAGGUCAACGAUUGUAGAAAUAUGGUUACUCUUCAAGGAGUUCCUGUCGAGGUGUGGCAUGGCGGUGUUCAGUUGGUGUGGUGAGAUGUUGGGUUAAGUCCCGCAACGAGCGCAACCCUUGUCUUGUGUUGCCAUCAUUCAGUUGGGCACUCUCAGGAGACCGCCAGCGAUAAGUUGGAGGAAGGUGGGGACGACGUCAAGUCAUCAUGGCCUUUAUGUACAGGGCUACACACGUGCUACAAUGGUCGGUACAAAGGGUGCCAACCCGCGAGGGGGAGGUAAUUGCAAAAAACCGGUUUCAGUUCGGAUUGCAGGUUGCAACUUGCACUGCAUGAAGCUGGAAUUGGUAGUAAUGGGGCAUCAGCAAGGCGCCGGGAAUACGUUUCCGGGCCUUGUACACCCCGCCCGUCACAUCCAGAAAGUGGGUUGUACUAGAAGUCUUCAGGCUAACCGUAAGGAGGCAGAGGCCCAAGG
RNAcentral lists this ribosomal RNA (1395 nucleotides) under uncultured bacterium. RNAcentral describes it as "bacterial SSU rRNA". It matches the Rfam family "Bacterial small subunit ribosomal RNA". The record is from RNAcentral.